This 430-nucleotide transfer RNA is filed under the name Acer oliverianum. RNAcentral describes it as "partial transfer RNA-Leu". The record is from RNAcentral. Lineage: Eukaryota; Viridiplantae; Streptophyta; Magnoliopsida; Sapindales; Sapindaceae.
AAAAUCCGUCGACUUUAGAAAUCGUGAGGGUUCAAGUCCCUCUAUCCCCCCAAAAAGACCGAUUUGACUAUUUCUCCUACCCUCUCUUUUUUUUAGUGGUUCCAAAUUCGUUCUCUUUCUCAUUCAUUCUACCUUUUUACAAACGUAUCAGAGCAGAAUUUUUUUUUCUUUUAUCACAAGUGGUGUGGUAUAUAUGAUAUACGUACAAAUGAACAUCUUUGAACAAAGAAUCCCGAUUCACAAUUCAUAUCAUUGCUCAUACUGAAACUUAUAAAUUAUUCUAUUCAAGAAAUCGAAUUCCACGCUCAAGACUUUUAAUACUUUUUUUAUCUUUUUUAAUUGACAUAGACCCCAGUCAUCUAGUAGAAUGAGGAUGAUGCGCCGGUAAUGGUCGGGAUAGCUCAGCUGGUAGAGCAGAGGACUGAAAAUC